AGGGAGAGCCCAGCACCGAAUCCCGCGGCCGCUCUCGGUCGCCGGGAAAUGUGGUGUUAGGGAGGGUCCGUCAUCCCGAGGUCGUGCGGUGCGUUCAAGUCCUUCUUGAACGGGGCCACUUACCCACAGAGGGUGCCAGGCCCGUAGCGACCGCCGCCGACAGCGGGAGGAUCUCUCCUCAGAGUCGGGUUGCUUGAGAGUGCAGCCCUAAGCGGGUGGUAAACUCCAUCUAAGGCUAAAUACAACCACGAGACCGAUAGCGAACAAGUACCGUGAGGGAAAGUUGAAAAGAACUUUGAAGAGAGAGUUCAAUAGUACGUGAAACCGUUCAGGGGUAAACCUGAGAAACCCGAAAGGUCGAAUGGGGAGAUUCAGCGCGUCUCGUCCGCCCGCGAGUGGUGACCGCGCGACGGUCGACGUCCGCGUCGACCGCGCCGUUCUCCUCCGCGUAUCGGGUGGCGAACGCGUGCACUUCUCCCCUAGUAGGACGUCGCGACCCGUUGGGCGCAGGUCUGAGUAACGAGGUGGAGGCCGAGUGGCGCCCUUGCGGGCUUCCGUUCGGACCCUCGUCCGCCGGCCUGCUCGCCCGACGGUACGACAGUGGCGCGGGGCCGCGAUUCACUUCGCGUCCGACCCGUCGCAAGUGCGAACGUGACUCAUCCGCGGAUGUGUCGGACUCCUGUGCCGCCUCCCGGACCGUUCGACUGCUGGCGGCGGUGUCCUCGGACAGACCCCGAAAACACACACACACACGCCGGUCGGCGACGCUUUAGCUUUGGGUACUUUCAGGACCCGUCUUGAAACACGGACCAAGGAGUCUAGCAUGUGCGCGAGUCAUUGGGACCGUUGCGAAACCUAAAGGCGAAAUGAAAGUGAAGGCCGCCUUGCGUGCGCGCCGAGGGAGGAUGCGCCGGACGACGAUCCGGCGCCCCACUCCCGGGGCGUCUCGUGCUCAUCGCGAAGCUAGGCGCACCC
This 975-nucleotide ribosomal RNA is filed under the name Thinopinus pictus. RNAcentral's name for it is "eukaryotic LSU rRNA". It matches the Rfam family "Eukaryotic large subunit ribosomal RNA", at positions 100 to 796 of the family's 3401-position model. Lineage: Eukaryota; Metazoa; Arthropoda; Insecta; Coleoptera; Staphylinidae. The record is from RNAcentral.